This is a long non-coding RNA of Hippocampus zosterae (dwarf seahorse), 2120 nucleotides long. RefSeq lists it as uncharacterized. The record is from RefSeq and is a predicted model, not a curated record. The transcript has 2 exons. NCBI's taxonomy places the organism in Eukaryota, Metazoa, Chordata, Actinopteri, Syngnathiformes, Syngnathidae.
CGAGCUGCUCAACAUGCGUGUUGUAUUGAAUAUAGAGGGAUAUCCCGUGUGUAUUAUUUCUGACCUUUUUCGGGUUACGCUACCAUCGUGUUUCAAGGUUGAGCUAACUGGAGCUGCUAAGUGAAUGCUAAGCACCAUCGCUACCAAUUACGUCGAAUAAUGAAGCUGUCAUGGUGGAGCGGGCCGUCAUGAAAAGUGAAUUCAAAGCGAACACGGGCGCCAUUUCGGAAGCAGCAAGGCUAGAAGAUGAAACUGGAAUGUGUGGUGCUCAAGACGACUUUUACGAGCAAAACUUGUUUGGCGUCGGACCAGAUUAACCAGACUGGCGAAACUAGACAAGCAAAGACACGCUCAUCGCGAAUCUAUUUGCACAGCCAGACAAUCGCAGUCAGGCAGCCCACGACGUGCCCUCGGUGGGCACGCCUGCAGAUGUAAACACACCCAGGUCGAGGUUGAGGGCAAAUAUUUCAUUUGCGGUUGCAAGAAUUUAUGGCCAUGGAGUGAGGCUGAUAUGAAGACCAAAUUCAUAGAGCACAUUAUGACCAAAUGGAAAUAUUUGAGUUAAAAAAAAAAUUCCCGACAUUAUUUUCAACACUUGUCCCCAUUGGAACCAUUCACAUUUGUUGUUUUACGAACAAACGACAGAUUGUUCUAUAAACAAAGAUGAGUUGAGAUAGAUUAAAAAUACAUGAAAACCAGAAAUGACAAUUUAUUGUGGAGGGUUAGCUGCUGUCUAAAAUUAAAAAAAAGUAAGAUAAAAACAAAAUGGAAAAAGUUGCCAUUCAAAAAGUCACAACUACAACUUCGCUUUUAUUCUUUCAGUUGUUUUUGCCCCUGAAUGAAAACUACAAAAAAGCAGCUGCGUCACUCUCUCUUCCGGAUACACAACGAUUGGCCACCUCUCCUCUGUCUACGCUCCAUGUGAUUGGCAGCCUGCCUCUCGUGAGGGUCACGUCACAUUUUAACCACGCCCCCGAACACACCGUAUGUCCCCGAGUACAGUCUGUCGUAAGAGAACAACAGAGAGUGGAGCAGAACGGAUCCACGGUAACAACGCUCACAAGCUGUGACUCCUCACGUAGGAAAUUUAACAAAACACGCCGGGACAAGUGCAGCGUGGCUGUCAAAAACAGGAGUGUGUCUGGAUUUGGGGCUUCUCUUUGUUUCCCUUGGGUUGCCAUGGCUCUUAUCAACUUGGACUGUUUCGACAUCCUGAAGAAUGUUCGGCCUUCCUUUGCACUUUGUGUACUCUUUGUGUAAGUAUCUGCUGAGUGGAGAGCAUCAAAGAUUAGUGACAUGUGAUAUCACAACAUAGCAUAGCCCCCCCCCCUCCAAGCAUGUACAAGCAAGUACCUUUGGCCUGUUUUUUUUUUCUUGCCAAGCAUGAAGUCAGGCUGUCAAUAUUUAAUAACCCAGCCACCCGAUAGCCUGUUCGUCUCCAACUUUUGUCCGCGCGCGCACUAACACGCCCAGCUUGUCUUGUCUCGCAUGAGAUUAGCACAUGGAUAUUUCAUGGCGUCUUCAAACGCAUUUUGCAUUUUUAAUCUUACCCCCCAGGGCACCGGCAAUCUCGUGUUUGGAGAAAUUUUUGAUGAACAAAUAUUCUUCUAUGAACGUGUGUCUAUGGAUUACAAAUGGUUGUUUUUUUUUUCUCAGUGGAUUGGAUGGAGUUGCACAAAGAAGACUUUCACAACUCCCAUGUGCAAGUUUCACCCCGCUAUACAUUUGUACUGCAUUGCGUAAUGACGCAGACGGGCCAGAAAUGCUGCUCAACUUGGUUUUGGGAACUGUCAUUACAGGAAACAAAAAAAAAACAAAAAACGCCCACAGAAGUUUUUUUAAAAUCCCCGGAAAUUUUAUUCCCAACCCCAAAUAGUUCAUCGUCGCGCUCAAGUGAGAAAAGCAGAAGCACUUUCUUUUUGACUGUAAUCACACCGAGCCGCGCUCAGAUGUGUCGCCGUUUCAUGUUGUAAAAAAGACAGCGCCGAUGUCUUAAUAUAGAACAUAGCUUUCGGCUCCCUUGUCAUCAGGGCACACUAUUUUUAUCGCCGUGUGACCACUGACCACAUUUGAAUUACCACCCAGUGGCUUUGGCAAAGGAAAAAAAAGUAAAAUAAUAA